This 253-nucleotide ribosomal RNA is filed under the name uncultured bacterium. RNAcentral describes it as "partial 16S ribosomal RNA". It matches the Rfam family "Bacterial small subunit ribosomal RNA", at positions 524 to 776 of the family's 1533-position model. The record is from RNAcentral.
UACGUAGGGUGCGAGCGUUAAUCGGAAUUACUGGGCGUAAAGUGUGCGCAGGCGGCAGAGCAAGUCGAGUGUGAAAGCCCCGGGCUUAACUUGGGAAUUGCGCUCGAAACUACUUUGCUGGAGUGUGGCAGAGGAAGGUGGAAUUCCACGUGUAGCGGUGAAAUGCGUAGAGAUGUGGAGGAACACCAAUGGCGAAGGCAGCCUUCUGGGCCAACACUGACGCUCAGGUGCGAAAGCGUGGGGAGCAAACAGG